Molecule: long non-coding RNA, 203 nt
Organism: Magnolia sinica
Lineage: Eukaryota; Viridiplantae; Streptophyta; Magnoliopsida; Magnoliales; Magnoliaceae
Exons: 2
Source: RefSeq, a predicted model, not a curated record
GAAAUUCCCCUUGGAUGGGAAGCAGAUUUUACUUGUUUGUGAUUCUUUUCCAUAUGUUGGCUUCUUUAUACGCCCAGCCAAGACUCGGUGAGUUUGGUAUCCCCGAUUCAGUGGUUUGUACAAGAUUUCAUAUAGGACUGGCUAUUGGCUUGUCUUCCGGCAUCACAUAUGGCCUACAAGAAGCUCGGGGAGCUCAUGAUUGG